Molecule: ribosomal RNA, 899 nt
Filed under: Bacillus sp. (in: firmicutes)
Lineage: Bacteria; Bacillati; Bacillota; Bacilli; Caryophanales; Bacillaceae
Description: bacterial SSU rRNA
Rfam family: Bacterial small subunit ribosomal RNA
Source: RNAcentral
AGCUUGCUCCCAUUUCUCAGCGGCGGACGGGUGAGUAACACGUGGGCAACCUGCCCUACAGACUGGGAUAACUCCGGGAAACCGGAGCUAAUACCGGGUAAUACAUAGCAUCGCAUGAUGCAACGUUGAAAGUUGGCCUUUGGCUAACACUGUAGGAUGGGCCCGCGGCGCAUUAGCUAGUUGGUAAGGUAACGGCUUACCAAGGCCACGAUGCGUAGCCGACCUGAGAGGGUGAUCGGCCACACUGGGACUGAGACACGGCCCAGACUCCUACGGGAGGCAGCAGUAGGGAAUCUUCCGCAAUGGACGAAAGUCUGACGGAGCAACGCCGCGUGAGUGACGAAGGCCUUCGGGUCGUAAAGCUCUGUUGUUAGGGAAGAACAAGUACCGUUCGAAUAGGGCGGUACCUUGACGGUACCUAACCAGAAAGCCACGGCUAACUACGUGCCAGCAGCCGCGGUAAUACGUAGGUGGCAAGCGUUGUCCGGAAUUAUUGGGCGUAAAGCGCGCGCAGGCGGUCUCUUAAGUCUGAUGUGAAAGCCCACGGCUCAACCGUGGAGGGCCAUUGGAAACUGGGGGACUUGAGUGCAGAAGAGGAGAGUGGAAUUCCACGUGUAGCGGUGAAAUGCGUAGAUAUGUGGAGGAACACCAGUGGCGAAGGCGGCUCUCUGGUCUGUAACUGACGCUGAGGCGCGAAAGCGUGGGGAGCGAACAGGAUUAGAUACCCUGGUAGUCCACGCCGUAAACGAUGAGUGCUAGGUGUUUGGGGGGUUCCACCCUCAGUGCUGAAGUUAACACAUUAAGCACUCCGCCUGGGGAGUACGACCGCAAGGUUGAAACUCAAAGGAAUUGACGGGGGCCCGCACAAGCAGUGGAGCAUGUGGUUUAAUUCGAAGCAA